AUUGAACGCUGGCGGCAUGCCUUACACAUGCAAGUCGAACGGCAGCACGGGUGCUUGCACCUGGUGGCGAGUGGCGAACGGGUGAGUAAUACAUCGGAACAUGUCCUGUAGUGGGGGAUAGCCCGGCGAAAGCCGGAUUAAUACCGCAUACGAUCUACGGAUGAAAGCGGGGGACCUUCGGGCCUCGCGCUAUAGGGUUGGCCGAUGGCUGAUUAGCUAGUUGGUGGGGUAAAGGCCUACCAAGGCGACGAUCAGUAGCUGGUCUGAGAGGACGACCAGCCACACGGGGACUGAGACCCGGCCCAGCCUCCUACGGGAGGCCGCAGUGGGGAAUUUUGAACAAGGGGCGAAAGCCUUAUCCAGCAAUGCCGCGUGUGUUAAGAAGGCCUUCGGGUUGUAAAGCUCUUUUGUCCGGAAAGAACACCUGGCCCCGAAACCGUUCGGGGCUUGACGGGACCGAAUCAACAAGCCCCGGCUAACUACGUG
RNAcentral lists this ribosomal RNA (486 nucleotides) under uncultured bacterium. RNAcentral's name for it is "partial 16S ribosomal RNA". It matches the Rfam family "Bacterial small subunit ribosomal RNA", at positions 30 to 507 of the family's 1533-position model. The record is from RNAcentral.